RNAcentral lists this ribosomal RNA (446 nucleotides) under uncultured bacterium. RNAcentral describes it as "partial 16S ribosomal RNA". It matches the Rfam family "Bacterial small subunit ribosomal RNA", at positions 338 to 795 of the family's 1533-position model. The record is from RNAcentral.
CCUACGGGUGGCAGCAGUCGAGAAUCAUUCACAAUGGGGGAAACCCUGAUGGUGCGACGCCGCGUGGGGGAAUGAAGGUCUUCGGAUUGUAAACCCCUGUCAUGUGGGAGCAAAUUAAAAAGAUAGUACCACAAGAGGAAGAGACGGCUAACUCUGUGCCAGCAGCCGCGGUAAUACAGAGGUCUCAAGCGUUGUUCGGAAUCACUGGGCGUAAGGCGUGCGGAGGCUGUUUAGUAAGUCGUGUGUGAAAGGCGCGGGCUCAACCCGCGGACGGCACAUGAUACUGCGAGACUAGAGUAAUGGAGGGGGAACCGGAAUUCUCGGUGUAGCAGUGAAAUGCGUAGAUAUCGAGAGGAACACUCGUGGCGAAGGCGGGUUCCUGGACAUUAACUGACGCUGAGGCACGAAGGCCAGGGGAGCGAAAGGGAUUAGAUACCCCAGUAGUC